Molecule: ribosomal RNA, 538 nt
Filed under: uncultured Burkholderia sp.
Lineage: Bacteria; Pseudomonadati; Pseudomonadota; Betaproteobacteria; Burkholderiales; Burkholderiaceae
Description: partial 16S rRNA
Rfam family: Bacterial small subunit ribosomal RNA
Source: RNAcentral
CCUACGGGAGGCAGCAGUCGGAAAUCAUGCACCAGGGAGGAAUGCGUGAUACAGCAAUACAGCGUGAAUCAAGAAGGCCUCGUGGAGGUAAAGCAGUUUUGCCCGGAAAGAAAUCCUUCUCUUUAAUACGAAGAGAUGAUGACGGUCCCGGAAGAAUAAGCGCCGGCUAAUUACGUGCCAGCAGCCGCGGUAAUAAGUAGGGAACAAGUGUUCCCCCCCCCCCCCUGGGCGUAAAGCGUGAGCAGGCGGUUCUAUAACACAGUUGUGAAAUCCCCGGGCUUAACGUGGAGACUGCGUUUGAGACCAAGGUCUAGAGGGGACAGAGGGGGGUAAAAUUCGGUGGUGUAGGUUAAAAAUGUGUAGAUCGGAGGAAAAACCCCCAUGGAAAAGGCAGCCCUGGGCCCCAACUCUCACGCUAGGCAAAAAGCGGGGGAGCAAACAGUUUUAGACCCCGGGGAGCCCACGCGGUCACGUUCUUUUUUUGGUUCCCCUCCUUGUCCUUCUUAGCGUUAAGUUACCGCCGGCAAGCGUCGCAGAU